Molecule: long non-coding RNA, 2424 nt
Filed under: Sus scrofa (pig)
Lineage: Eukaryota; Metazoa; Chordata; Mammalia; Artiodactyla; Suidae
Description: lncRNA (ENSSSCG00045025912.1)
Source: RNAcentral
UGAAAAGGUUGUGAAUCAUUGAAUAAAUAUGUUACAUUAGGAGAUGAUUAUAUUUAUAAAUAUCAAAUUUCAUUGUUCUGGAAUAAACUCUAGUUGUACACAAAAUAAUGUACACGAGAGCCAUAUUAACAUGGAAGUCACUCAAAAAAGUAUGUGAUGUUUGAGUCUCCCUCUUACUAUUUCCUUAUUAUAGAAGCCAGGAUUCUCUCUCUGAGGAACCCCCAGAAACACUGGGUGGCAGGAUAUAGAAGUAUAAGCCACUAGGAGAGGGCCACUGUUUUUUAAAAAAGGACUCUUUCCAGCAGUGCUUUGUACGUCAUUGUCAGAGGUAAAAAUAACAUGGAAAGCCUGAUGAUCUAUUCUAGCAGAUGAGAGGCAGCAUGCAUGGAGUGAUGAUACAAAGAAUUUUGAGCUGGAAACCAGCAUUGCUACCUGGAAGAUAGAAUAGGAAAUGAAAAGAUACUUUUAAGGAAAGUAAGAUAGGCCAGCAGAAAUGUUACUGGAAUUCAGCAUUACAGGACUGAGUUCUGCUUUAUGGGAUUUGAUUAUUUCUAGUUGGAAUUUUUCUAUGCUGCCCUAUUGGAGGGAUGGUAAUUUACUCAGAAAUAUAGGAAGGGGAAGGUAUGUUUGCUGAGCAGAACUGGAGGCUCUCACCUGGACCAUCCCAUUGGACUCUACGUCAAUUCUGUGAUGAGAUGAUGAGAUAUGAACGUGAAGAACGUGUGGGUUUAAAAACCUCACAUAAAACUUCCAUCAAAUUGUUAGAUUAAAAAGGAGGGAGAAAUCAUAAUACCCCCCCCUUUUUUUAAUCUUCGUAGGGACACACCCUCGGCAUAUGGAGGUUCCCAGGCCAGGGGUCCAAUCAUGGAUUAAGGAUCCGGCGUUGCCAUGAACUGUGGUGUAGGUCGCAGACGUGGCUCGGAUCCCAUGUUGCUGGCUGUGGCGUAGGCUGGCAUCUACAGCUCUGAUUGGACCCCUAGCCUGGGAACGUCCACAUGCCAUGGGUGCAGCCUUAAAAAUCAAACAGGGAAAAAAAUGAUGCCUUUGAGAAUCUUAUUAUCGCACACCCUUCACUACACAUCCCUUACAGCUGUGAUCAUUCAGAUCUCCAGAAAGACUCCAUAGUCACUUGAGGGGUGCAGAGCAGAUCACAGGGGUAUUUUAGUCUAGCACAAAGGCUAGACAGCCUGGCGAACAUGAUACACUUUUGGCUAAGCUCCCUAGAGCAUGAAGAGGACCGGCCAGGAGGAAAUGGGGUAAGAAAACAAAGCAAACUUACAUGCUUUUCCUUGCUGCUGACUUAUAACCAGCCUAAGGGGUGGGGUGGGAGGAUGUGAAUGGGUCUUUGGCAGGACACAGACAACACAGCCCUGCUCAUGAUUUUGGGAUCUGGGGAAAGCAUCUCUGCACCUCGGAUUCCGCAUUGGCAAGUUGAGGAGGUUGGACUUGAUGAUGCCCAGUGGCUCAACACUGAUUCUGUAUCUGUAGAUUUUGCCCACCUAAUAUACAGUCCUCCCCCUUUUUGGUAAGAGAUCCCUUUCCUUUUGUCAGCUCAUGUAGUCAGAUGGGCUGACGGCAACCUUGAUUUCAUGGGGGGGGCACGUAACCCAGGCCUGGGUAGUAGAGGACUCAGAUCCUCACGGGUGAUGCAGUGCUGUAGGCACAGGCACAAGGGCCUGACCUGGGCAGGGUAUUCCAUUUCCUUUAGCCACUAUGUUGCACAUACGGGCAUAGGACCUAGAUGGUCCAGCAAGUCUUCAUUCUGGGACUUUUUUUCUUAAACAGCUGUAGGUACAGCCUAUGGAAGUUCCUGGGCCAAGGGUCAAAUCGGAGUUGCAGCAUCUGGCCUACGGCAGCCACAGCAAUACAGAUCCGAGCCACAUCUGUGACCUAUGCUGCAGCUUGUGGCAAUGCCAGAUCCUUAACCCACUAAACGAGGCCAGGGACUGAACCCACAUCCUCACGGAGACUAUGUUGGGUUCCGAACCUGCUGAGCCACCAGAGAAACUCCCGUUCUGGGACUUUUAACUGUUCAGGAAGAGAAUAUCUAUGCCUGGGAGGGUUGCUGAAUAGGGCAGACUGUGAUUCAGGAGCUCCUGGCAUCCAUCCUGCCACUCUCAGGGGAAAGCUUACUUGAUAAUGGAGCUGACACUGAAGAAAAUAGAGCCAAGGGACAGGGAGAGAGACUGUGGGUCCUGAUGACAUUCGGAGCCCCUGGAUAGAGCUAUAGCUGCAAGCAGUUACCUGUGUAUUUAAUUAGAAGAGCCAAUAAAUUCCACUCCUCAUUCAUUCAUUCAACUUAAGGUAGUCUGAGUUGUGGUCUCUAUCAACUAUGACCAGAGGGGGUCUGACUGAGAGAGAAGUUCUGCUGUUCCUUGAAAUAACAAUUAUAAGAAGCCAGAAAAAAAAAAAAAAAAAAAAAAA